Molecule: ribosomal RNA, 492 nt
Filed under: uncultured bacterium
Lineage: Bacteria
Description: partial 16S ribosomal RNA
Rfam family: Bacterial small subunit ribosomal RNA
Source: RNAcentral
AGUGAACGCUGGCGGUAGGCCUAACACAUGCAAGUCGAACGGCAGCACAGUAAGGGCUUGCUCUUGCGGGUGGCGAGUGGCGGACGGGUGAGGAAUACAUCGGAAUCUACUUUUUCGUGGGGGAUAACGUAGGGAAACUUACGCUAAUACCGCAUACGACCUACGGGUGAAAGCAGGGGAUCUUCGGACCUUGCGCGAUUGAAUGAGCCGAUGUCGGAUUAGCUAGUUGGCGGGGUAAAGGCCCACCAAGGCGACGAUCCGUAGCUGGUCUGAGAGGAUGAUCAGCCACACUGGAACUGAGACACGGUCCAGACUCCUACGGGAGGCAGCAGUGGGGAAUAUUGGACAAUGGGCGCAAGCCUGAUCCAGCCAUACCGCGUGGGUGAAGAAGGCCUUCGGGUUGUAAAGCCCUUUUGUUGGGAAAGAAAAGCAGCAGGUUAAUACCCCGCUGUUCUGACGGUACCCAAAGAAUAAGCACCGGCUAACUUCGUG